ACGCUGGCGGCGUGCCUAAUACAUGCAAGUCGAACGGUCUUUCUAUGGAAGCUUGCUUCCACUGAGAAGAUAGUGGCGAACGGGUGAGUAACACGUGGGUAACCUGCCCAUAAGAGGGGGAUAACAUCCGGAAACGGGUGCUAAUACCGCAUAGUUUUCUUGAUUGCAUGAUUGAGAAAGGAAAGACGGCCUUUGUGCUGUCGCUUAUGGAUGGACCCGCGGCGUAUUAGUUAGUUGGUGAGGUAACGGCUCACCAAGACGAUGAUACGUAGCCGACCUGAGAGGGUGAUCGGCCACAUUGGGACUGAGACACGGCCCAAACUCCUACGGGAGGCAGCAGUAGGGAAUCUUCCGCAGUGGACGAAAGUCUGACGGAGCAACGCCGCGUGAGUGAAGAAAGGUUUUCGGAUCGUAAAACUCUGUUGUCAGAGAAGAACAAGUUGGAGAGUAACUGCUCCAGCCUUGACGGUAUCUGACCAGAAAGCCACGGCUAACUACGUGCCAGCCGCAGC
This 512-nucleotide ribosomal RNA is filed under the name uncultured bacterium. Its description in RNAcentral is "bacterial SSU rRNA". It matches the Rfam family "Bacterial small subunit ribosomal RNA", at positions 33 to 518 of the family's 1533-position model. The record is from RNAcentral.